UGCGGAGUAGAGCAGCAAGGUAGCUCGUUGGGCUCAUAACCCGAAGGUCGCAGGUUCGAAUCCAGCCUCCGCUA
RNAcentral lists this transfer RNA (74 nucleotides) under Dictyota dichotoma. It matches the Rfam family "tRNA". From Rfam's summary of the family: Transfer RNA (tRNA) molecules are approximately 80 nucleotides in length. Their secondary structure includes four short double-helical elements and three loops (D, anti-codon, and T loops). RNAcentral also lists the same sequence under 6 other names. The record is from RNAcentral. Lineage: Eukaryota; Phaeophyceae; Dictyotales; Dictyotaceae.